RNAcentral lists this long non-coding RNA (663 nucleotides) under Saccoglossus kowalevskii. RNAcentral describes it as "uncharacterized LOC102805108". Lineage: Eukaryota; Metazoa; Hemichordata; Enteropneusta; Harrimaniidae. The record is from RNAcentral.
CCGACAGAGAAGAAGUCAUCAGAUAUUUUUCAGUUCUGGUAUCAAGAUGAAGAUUAUUAACAUUACCCUAUUUGUCCUGGUAUCAUUGUGUUCUCUACUCAUGCAUACACAAUUAGUAACCACGUAGCUGUGGAGUACCAUAUUGUCGCUGGAAGCUAUACUUGGGAUGAAGCAAUAGCUGAAUGUGCUAGUCUUGGAGGAACCUUGGCACGAAUUCCCGACAAACGCACAGAUGAUUUUAUCACACAAUACAUAAGAGACAGUGGCUUAGGUGAUCAGGUUGAUACUGGAUUUUGGAUUGGCCUGAACGAUAGAAAUGAAGAAGACAACUUUAAAUGGAUUAAUGGUGGAGAGGUGUGUUACACAAACUGGGGUGAAGGGGAACCAGAUAACAACACUAAUAAAAACCCGCAGGGUCAGGACUGUGGUCAACUGAGAAAAACAACAGACUUUAAAUGGGAUGAUGAAUAUUGCACUGGUGUUGAUAUCAGAGAGAAGGGUUUCAUUUGUGAAGUACAAGCUUGCAGCUGUUCUAAAUGCCCAGAACCAUGAAUACAAUCGACGCAUUGUUGUAGUUCGGUGGCCAUGGGGCUACAUAUUUUUUGUAGAUCUAAUUUCUGUAUUUGCAUGCUAAACUAAUACAAUAAAGCUGAUAUGGACGUA